UUCUCUGAGAGAGAAGCAGAGAGCUGGGGGUGGGCGUGUUCACAAGCCUGCAGGGCUCCGGUCAGCUGCACUUGGGGUCACCCCCCCCCCACGUGUUCACCUGUGGACCCCCACGCUCCCUCACCUGCCAGCCGGUUCCUGAGGUAGGUCAGGCGGAUCUUCUCGGUGCCAUACAGGAAGAGGGAGCCCUCUGGGUUCAGGGGCCGCACCUGAGGCAGUAGGUGCCAGGGUCAGGCCGUGCCCCCAGCCCCACCACGUGCAGCCCCAGGGGUCUGGGCAGGCCUUCACCUUCUUGAGCGGCACCGUCUGGACCCAUUCUGCUCUCCUCACGUCAAACACGUCAAUGGCGUUCUCACUGAACACUGUCAGGGGAAGACCCCUGUGCCCUGUCACAGCACUGGGACUUCCAAGCCCCACGGCAAAGGUCCUUCCCUGAAGACGCAGGCUGCCCCGCCCUCUCCCUAAGGAGUGAGGUAACCAGGGAGCUCUCCCUACACGCCCCCAGCCCCCACGGCGCCCUUAAGUCUCCCAACAACUCCCAGCAGGUACCACAUCACCCCCAACCUACAGAGGGACUGGAAACCCCAGAGGCAUGUAAUGGCCAAGGUCACCGGGCUGAAGAGGAGAGCUGGGAUUUGGCCCCAGGCAGUUUGGGCCUAACACCUACAAUGCUGAAUACCUGUGCUACACCCAACCUAGGUCCCACCCCAGAAGGGCCUUUGCUCGUGAUGGAAGCUCUGUCCCUCUAAUCUAGCCCUUAUCCUGUCACUCCAUGGAUGCCCCAGACCACCUCAGUGCACGUUGCUCCUGACAUCCAUAGCCCCUAGGGUGUGCUUGCCUGGGCUGGGUGCUGGAUGUGGAGGAAGAAACCAGUCCCAACCUAUUCUGCAGGCUCCCAGUGCACCAAACCAGUUGUGAAGUAGGAGAAAGGAGCCCAGAAAAGAGGUGGGGGAGCAAAGAGAAGCCAAGGACAGUGACAGGAGAGGGCACGACAAGGAGCCAGAAGGCAAUAAUGAUGAUGACAGCAGUCAUGGAGUGCCUGUUAGCUCCAGGUCCUGAGGUGCCAUUAGGGCUUAAGAGCUGACCAGGAGCUGGGUGCAGUGGUGCAUGCCUAUAAUCCCAGCAAAUUGGAGGUUGAGGCAGGAGGAUAUAGAGUUCAAAACCAGCCUCAGCAACGGCGAGUUGCUAAGCAGCUCAGUGAGACCGUGUCUCUAAAUAAAAUACAAAAUAGGGCUGGGAUGUGGCUCAGUGGUUAAGGGGCCCUGAGUUCAAUCCUCAGUACCAAACAAACAAAACAGUUGGCCAUGGCUGGGCACUGUGGCUCACACCCCUAAUCCUAGUAUUUUGGGAGUUUGAGGCAGGAGGAUCAAGAGUUCAAAGCCAGCUUCAGCAACAGGAAGGCACUAAGCAGCUCAGUGAAACCCUGUCUCUAAAUAAAAUACAAAAAAGGACUGGAGAUGUAGCCCAGUGGUUGAGUGCCCUUGAGUUCAAUCCCUGGUACUCCCUCCCUCCCCCGCCAAAAAAAGAGUUAGCCAGGUACAAGUGGAAGGAGGGCAGCACAGCACAGGGAGGGGAAAAGGAGAAACAAAGGAACAGAAGAGGAAAAUCCCAGGUACAACACCCAGGCAGAACAGGACAUGGCAGGCUCUGGCUGCAGUGCCAAGCUCAGGAGGUUGGGCAGAACCCUGUCUUCCUCAAUACAGUGCAGUGCCCAGCCCCAUCCAGCCAGGCCCUCCACUGGCCUUACCCCAGCCUGUGGGUGCUGCUGGCCACAGUAACUCGUGACUGCGUGACUUGCGGCCAGUGCCAUCCACGUAGACUCCAGCAGUGGUGAAGAGCAGCAAGAGCUCAUUAAGGCUGAGCUCCACAGCACCCAGGGCCUCACCUAGGCCUCCACGGGAUGGUGGCAGCUCCUCUGGCACCAAGCCGGCCCCCAGCACCAAGGGUGCAGCCUCGUUGAGCAGUGGGUAGAGGGCGAAGGUGCCAGCAGCACCCACACACAGCCGAUCACCCAGUAGCCCCAGGCUCUGUACAGAUGCAGGUGCCUGAAGCUCCCGGAUGCGAUGCUGCCAGGGCCCUGGUCCCGGGCCCAGCUGGUAGCAGAGCACCUGGCGCUUGAUAGCUACACAGAGUACGGGAGUGCGGGCCUGCAGGAUGCGCCCGGCUGUCAGCACCUGGCAGCCUCGGGACUCGGGGAUCUUGGCACCUGUUGCAUCAGUGCUUUCCAGCUCCGCGAGGGCAAAGAGACGCACGCUAGGGCCACGGCCGCACAGCACAACCAGCAGGCCUGCAGAGGGGCUGACAGCCAGCUGCUGCACCCGGCGGCACUCCCCCACCUGGAAGAUGUCUGGGGAGUGGGGAAAAAAGCAGGUAACUUGCAUGGCUCCAGCUGGCUCAGGACCUCGGCUGCUGGGGAAGCCAAAGAUCUCUGCUUCACUCCUGCUGAGGCCAGGCUCCCAGCUGAACCCAAGUGAAUCUGCGGCAGCUCCACACUGGAGACAUUGCGAGGCUUCAGGUGGUUCUGUGGCUCUUCCAUGGUAUGGUCACCCAUCAGCUGGCAGGACAACCAGGACUGGGACCCUCGUUUAUCUUUUUUUCCCCCAGUAGUGGGGAUGGAAGCCAGUGGUGCUGUCCUACUGAGCUACAUCCCAGUCAUUUUUAUUUUAAGACACAAUCUUGCUAAGUUGCCCAGGCUGGCUUUGAACUUGUGAUUUUUUUUUUUUUUGCAGGGGGUGGGGGGGAUACUGUACUGGGUAUUGAACCCAGGAGUAUUUUACUACUGAGCUAUAUGACCAGCCUUUAAAAUUUUUUUUUUAAAUAUAGUCUUGCUAAGUUCCUGAGGAUCUUGCUAAAUUGCUGAGAUUGGCCUUGAAUUCGAGAUCCUCCUGAGUCACUGUGAUUACAGGAGUGCACCACCAUUCCUGGCUCAUUUGUCAAUUUCUAAAGCCUUUGCUCCUCCAA
Molecule: long non-coding RNA, 2961 nt
Organism: Marmota monax (woodchuck)
Lineage: Eukaryota; Metazoa; Chordata; Mammalia; Rodentia; Sciuridae
Exons: 3
Source: RefSeq, a predicted model, not a curated record